This 2864-nucleotide ribosomal RNA is filed under the name Polynucleobacter kasalickyi. RNAcentral's name for it is "bacterial LSU rRNA". It matches the Rfam family "Bacterial large subunit ribosomal RNA". The record is from RNAcentral. Lineage: Bacteria; Pseudomonadati; Pseudomonadota; Betaproteobacteria; Burkholderiales; Burkholderiaceae.
AUAGGAUCAAGUGAAUAAGUGCACAUGGUGGAUGCCUUGGCGAUUACAGGCGAUGAAGGACGUUAUAGACUGCGAUAAGCUGCGGGGAGUUGUCAAAUAAACUUUGAUCCGCAGAUUUCCGAAUGGGAAAACCCACCUCUUACGAGGUAUCUUUAAGUGAAUACAUAGCUUAAAGAGGCGAACCUGGUGAACUGAAACAUCUAAGUAACCAGAGGAAUAGACAUCAACCGAGAUUCCCAGAGUAGUGGCGAGCGAAAUGGGAACAGCCUUCUAGUGAUAGCUAGUUUGUUAGUAGAACGGAAUGGAAAGUCCGGCAAUAAAGGGUGAUAGCCCCGUAUACGAAAACAGAUUAGUGGUACUAAGUUAGAGACAAGUAGGGCGGGACACGAGAAAUCCUGUCUGAAUAUGGGAGGACCAUCUUCCAAGGCUAAAUACUCGUAAUCGACCGAUAGUGAACAAGUACCGUGAGGGAAAGGCGAAAAGAACCCCGGGAGGGGAGUGAAAUAGAUCCUGAAACCGUGUGCAUACAAACAGUCGGAGCCUCGCAAGGGGUGACGGCGUACCUUUUGUAUAAUGGGUCAGCGACUUACAUUCAGUAGCAAGCUUAACCGUUUAGGGUAGGCGUAGCGAAAGCGAGUCCGAAUAGGGCGUUAGUUGCUGGGUGUAGACCCGAAACCAGUUGAUCUAUCCAUGGCCAGGUUGAAGGUGCGGUAACACGUACUGGAGGACCGAACCCACUAACGUUGAAAAGUUAGGGGAUGAGCUGUGGAUAGGGGUGAAAGGCUAAACAAAACUGGAAAUAGCUGGUUCUCUCCGAAAACUAUUUAGGUAGUGCCUCGUGUAUCACCUUUGGGGGUAGAGCACUGUCAUGGUAGUGGGGUCCAUUGCGGAUUACUGCGCCAUAGCAAACUCCGAAUACCAAAGAGUGCAAGCACGGGAGACAGACGACGGGUGCUAACGUCCGCCGUCAAGAGGGAAACAACCCAGACCGCCAGCUAAGGUCCCUAAUAUAUGCUAAGUGGGAAACGAAGUGGGAAGGCUAAAACAGUCAGGAGGUUGGCUUAGAAGCAGCCACCCUUUAAAGAAAGCGUAAUAGCUCACUGAUCGAGUCGUCCUGCGCGGAAGAUGUAACGGGGCUAAGCAUAUAACCGAAGCUGCGGAUCACGUAAGUGAUGGUAGGAGAGCGUUCUGUAAGCCUGUGAAGGUGUGGUGUGAACCAUGCUGGAGGUAUCAGAAGUGCGAAUGCUGACAUGAGUAGCGAUAAAGGGGGUGAAAAGCCCCCUCGCCGUAAGCCCAAGGUUUCCUACGCAACGUUCAUCGGCGUAGGGUGAGUCGGCCCCUAAGGCGAGGCAGAGAUGCGUAGCUGAUGGGAACAAGGUUAAUAUUCCUUGACCAUUGAUAGAUGCGAUGGGGGGACGGAUCGCGGAAUGUUGUCCGGGUGUUGGAUGUCCCGGUCCUUAUAUUUGAGAAGGCUAUUAGGCAAAUCCGGUAGCGUAAUUCAAGAGUAUGAGGCGAGCGAACUUGUUCGCGAAGCAAUAGGAAGUGGUUCCAAGAAAAGCCUCUAAGCUUCAGUCUAUCAAGACCGUACCGCAAACCGACACAGGUGGGCGAGAUGAGUAUUCUAAGGCGCUUGAGAGAACUCAGGAGAAGGAACUCGGCAAAUUUGUACCGUAACUUCGGGAUAAGGUACGCCCAAGUAGCUUGUUAAAGGGCGAAAGGGUUGCAAUAAAAUGGUGGCUGCGACUGUUUAAUAAAAACACAGCACUCUGCAAACACGAAAGUGGACGUAUAGGGUGUGACGCCUGCCCGGUGCUGGAAGAUUAAAUGAUGGGGUGCAAGCUCUUGAUUGAAGUCCCAGUAAACGGCGGCCGUAACUAUAACGGUCCUAAGGUAGCGAAAUUCCUUGUCGGGUAAGUUCCGACCUGCACGAAUGGCGUAACGAUGGCCACACUGUCUCCUCCUGAGACUCAGCGAAGUUGAAAUGUUUGUGAUGAUGCAAUCUACCCGCGGCUAGACGGAAAGACCCCAUGAACCUUUACUGUAGCUUUGCAUUGGACUUUGAACCGGUUUGUGUAGGAUAGGUGGGAGGCGUUGAUAUCAGGAUGCUAGUUCUGAUGGAGCCAACCUUGAAAUACCACCCUGAUUUGUUUGAGGUUCUAACCUUGGCCCGUUAUCCGGGUCGGGAACAGUGCAUGGUAGGCAGUUUGACUGGGGCGGUCUCCUCCCAAAGUGUAACGGAGGAGUACGAAGGUACGCUUGGCACGGUCGGACAUCGUGCCUAAAGUGCAAUGGCAAAAGCGUGCUUAACUGCGAGACCGACAAGUCGAGCAGGUGCGAAAGCAGGUCAUAGUGAUCCGGUGGUUCUGUAUGGAAGGGCCAUCGCUCAACGGAUAAAAGGUACUCUGGGGAUAACAGGCUGAUACCGCCCAAGAGUUCAUAUCGACGGCGGUGUUUGGCACCUCGAUGUCGGCUCAUCUCAUCCUGGGGCUGUAGCCGGUCCCAAGGGUAUGGCUGUUCGCCAUUUAAAGAGGUACGUGAGCUGGGUUUAAAACGUCGUGAGACAGUUUGGUCCCUAUCUGCCGUGGGCGUUGGAGAUUUGACGGGGGCUGCUCCUAGUACGAGAGGACCGGAGUGGACGUACCGCUGGUGUACCUGUUGUUUCGCCAGAAGCAUCGCAGGGUAGCUAUGUACGGAAGAGAUAACCGCUGAAAGCAUCUAAGCGGGAAACUUGCCUGAAGAUGAGAUCUCCCGGAGGUUUAACCUCCAUAAAGGGUCGUUGAAGACCACGACGUUGAUAGGUCAGGUGUGGAAGCGCAGUAAUGCGUUAAGCUAACUGAUACUAAUUGCCCGUUAGACUUGAUCCU